RNAcentral lists this ribosomal RNA (468 nucleotides) under uncultured bacterium. RNAcentral's name for it is "partial 16S ribosomal RNA". It matches the Rfam family "Bacterial small subunit ribosomal RNA", at positions 28 to 507 of the family's 1533-position model. The record is from RNAcentral.
GACGAACGCUGGCGGCGUGCUUAACACAUGCAAGUCGAACGGAAAGGCCCUGCUUUUGUGGGGUGCUCGAGUGGCGAACGGGUGAGUAACACGUGAGUAACCUGCCCUUGACUUUGGGAUAACUUCAGGAAACUGGGGCUAAUACCGGAUAGGAGCUCCUGCUGCAUGGUGGGGGUUGGAAAGUUUCGGCGGUUGGGGAUGGACUCGCGGCUUAUCAGCUUGUUGGUGGGGUAGUGGCUUACCAAGGCUUUGACGGGUAGCCGGCCUGAGAGGGUGACCGGCCACAUUGGGACUGAGAUACGGCCCAGACUCCUACGGGAGGCAGCAGUGGGGAAUAUUGCACAAUGGGCGGAAGCCUGAUGCAGCAACGCCGCGUGCGGGAUGACGGCCUUCGGGUUGUAAACCGCUUUCGCCUAUGACAAAGCGUGAGUGACGGUAAUGGGUAAAGAAGCACCGGCUAACUACGUG